Tupaia belangeri chinensis (Chinese tree shrew) is the source of this 635-nucleotide long non-coding RNA. RefSeq lists it as uncharacterized. The record is from RefSeq and is a predicted model, not a curated record. Lineage: Eukaryota; Metazoa; Chordata; Mammalia; Scandentia; Tupaiidae. The transcript has 3 exons.
GUAUUUUUGAGGAAUUCAUAAGCAAAACUGAAUUUGUUUUAGUUAACUCCCUCUUUGGAAUAUUGUCGACUUAUCAAAAUAGUACAAAGAGUGUCUGUCUGGAGUGAGAAGACUUGAACUCUAGUUUUAGAUCUGCUACAGACUAGUUGUUUGGCUUGGAGGUCUCUCCCAACUGCUAAGAAUCUGUGAUUCUCUCUAGUCAGACCAUCAGAGGAAAAUACUGCAGCAUUCUCCUCCACAUGUUGUGUGGUCAACCUAGGAUCCAAGCACAGUCUUCCACAGUUUCCUGCCCCAUCUUCCUCUAAGAAGCUCCUGGAACAAAACUCAAUCACACAGAAAGUCUCUGAAGAGAAUAACUUCACAAGACGUUUUUGAAAAUGAACAGGAACUUCCUUGAUAAUACGAAAAGGAAUGUAUCUGGUUUAACAAAUGUGUGCAUGUCCUUCUCUUGUCACAUUGAUGUCCAAAUCUUGCCUUUUUUCUUUUCUUUUUUUGUUUAAUUCUCAGUAUGUUAAUUGCAAACUUCUACAUCCAAGAAGAGUGAAAUUUGUAUGUUUUGAUACAACAAAUGCCUGAUACUUGGAACCUAAAAAUAUUAAAAGAAUAGUAUCAGAGUCAGCAGAUAGAUAACUUAA